GAUGAACGCUGGCGGCGUGCCUAAUACAUGCAAGUCGAGCGAACAGACGAGGAGCUUGUUCCUCUCACGUUAGCGGCGGACGGGUGAGUAACACGUGGAUAACCUACCUAUAAGACUGGGAUAACCUCGGGAAAUCGGAGCUUAUACCGGAUAAUCUUUUGAACCGUAUUGUUCAAUAGUGAAAGACGGUUUUGCUGUCACUUAUAGCUGGAUACGGGCUGCAUUAGCUAGUUGGUAAGGUAACGGCCUACCAAGGCAACUAUGCGUAGCCGACAUCAGAGGGUGAUCGGCCGCACUAGGACUGAGACACGGUCCAUACUCCUACGGGAGGCAGCAGUAGGGAAUCUUCCGCAAUGGGCCAAAGCCUGACGGAGCAACGCCGCGAGAGUGAAGAAGGUCUUGCGAUCGUGAAACUCUGUUAUUGGGGAAGAACAAAUGUGUACGUAACUAUGCCCGUCUUGACGGUACCUGAUCAGAAAGCCACGGCUAACUACGUG
This 497-nucleotide ribosomal RNA is filed under the name uncultured bacterium. RNAcentral describes it as "partial 16S ribosomal RNA". It matches the Rfam family "Bacterial small subunit ribosomal RNA", at positions 28 to 507 of the family's 1533-position model. The record is from RNAcentral.